UAUACCCAUGUUAAAUGGAGGUUACCUCCGUAUAUGUCAUCUGCUCCAUGGUAUCUCAAGUCUGAAAAACCGAGUUUGAAGCAUCAAAAGAAUUGGAAAAGUGAUCCUAUUUGCACAGACGCAUCGUAUGACAGAGGUGCAAAGAUCUAUCAAAAAAUUUGAACACUGUAGUACAUACCUUUGGUUCAGUACCCGGGAUGCACAUCCCCACAGCGUACACCCGAUCGGAACCUUUUCCAACCGAAGAAUUGUAGAAGCCGCUUCGAGCUGAGACAUUAGGAGCCAGAGAAGAGAGGAGAAGGCCACGGUUUGUAUCAAACUUACCAUGGAGUAUAAAAAAAACCCGGUUUCCCCGCAUUUGUGGGCAGACACGACAGGAAAGCCUACAAGGAAAAACAAGAAGAUUGGCAAGAAAUUCUUCAGUUUCAUUUUCAAGAUCAUACAGAUGUUGUUUGAGUUAGAAUAGCAAGCAAGUGUGUAUAUCUAUAAGCAUAUAUCAAUGUACAUCAAUUAAAUUUCCAUUGCAAGUUGUUCUUGACCCAUUGGUCCCUGUGUCUUUUUCAAUGUUUAUUGGGUUGACUAGUGUGCAA
Long non-coding RNA from Arabidopsis lyrata subsp. lyrata, 590 nucleotides. RefSeq lists it as uncharacterized. The record is from RefSeq and is a predicted model, not a curated record. Lineage: Eukaryota; Viridiplantae; Streptophyta; Magnoliopsida; Brassicales; Brassicaceae. The transcript has 2 exons.